Molecule: ribosomal RNA, 425 nt
Filed under: uncultured bacterium
Lineage: Bacteria
Description: bacterial SSU rRNA
Rfam family: Bacterial small subunit ribosomal RNA
Source: RNAcentral
UAACGAAUAUUGGGCAAUGGGCGCAAGCCUGACCCAGCAAUGCCGCGUGCAGGAGGAAGCCCUUCGGGGUGUAAACUGCUGUCAGGAGCUAGCAAACAAGGGACGUUAAUAGCGUCCGGCGUUGAGCAGCUCCAGAGGAAGCCUCGACUAACUCUGUGCCAGCAGUCGCGGUAAGACAGAGGAGGCAAGCGUUGUUCGGAAUCACUGGGCUUAAAGAGGGUGUAGGCGGCUUGGCAAGUGUCGUGUGAAAUCCAACGGCUCAACCGUUGAACUGCACGGCAAACUGUCUGGCUUGAGGUUGGCAGAGGUGCCUGGAACUCUUGGUGGAGCGGUGAAAUGCGUAGAUAUCAAGAGGAACGCCGGAGGCGAAAGCGGGGCACUGGGCCAAUUCUGACGCUGAGACCCGAAAGCGUGGGGAGCAAACA